CGUCCUGCCACGGCCAGGGAUGGUCACCCUGCAGGAGGCGGGGAGAAAUGCCCAAAGCAGGGGAGCUUGCCUUGUCCUGGAGCGUUGUCACCUGUCGAGCAGCGACCCUGAGGGAGGGUCGGAGCACCCUCUGCACCAGCUGGCCUGGAGUCACGCCCUCCUCGGGGGAGAGCUCGAGGCAGAGAAGCUUCCCGGGGCAGUUGUCUGUGUCCGGGAGCCUGCAUUGCUCGUGUGGAGCGUGUUUGGUGAAGGAGACUCCACUGUCUGCUGCGAGGUUGAGCUCUACAGGCUCUCAGGACAGCCCCGGGAACAACCCCAGCAGCAGCACCAGCAGGCAGGACUCGUUGCACAAAGCCCCGAAGAAGAAGGGCAUCAAGUCCUCCAUCAGCCGCUUGUUUCGCAAGAAGAAAAAGGGCCGGCCUGAGCACCCCGGCAAGGAGGCGUUAGCACCAGGCAGGAUCUUUACCCCUAGCACCACCUGGAAAGCCCCAGUGAACGCUGACAACUAGAAAUGCAGAAAAUCCGAGCUGCUCCUAAGGUAAACUGGGAGAGCAGCAAGCACAGGUUGUAAAGACAAAGACACAGGAUGAGCGACAACGCGCCCACAGAGACAGGCAGGAAUGCGGUCACCCACAUAAAGGAAAUGUCUGUGCCGUUCGGAAGAGGAGCCGGCCAGCCCUUGGAGGGACAGUUGGAAUCGGAAUGAAAACCGAGACAAUGGUCAGCAGUGCCCACCCACACGGCCCGGGUGGCGUGGUGUCACUCACCGGGCUUCCUGCGUCCCCAGAGCUGCUGGUGGGAAGAUCUCUGAGUGCCAGGCCGGGCAGCGUCCCCGUGUGAGCUAAGGCAUCACUGCUAUCCUUCCAGUGCUGCUGUGGGCCCCUCUGUGGGCGGCCACCCUCAUCCCCUGCCCUGCCACCCACUCGGGCUGGGCUCUCCCUCUGGGAUCUUUUCAGGCCUUGAACUUGGGUGUUCCCAGCCCUCUGCCACGCCGGACUGGGACGCAGCUCAGGACUUGGCCUUGAGAUAUCAAGGAGACCUUGAAUCUGGAAGGACACCACCAUGGGAGCAGGAGAGCAAAGCCCACACGGGGAGGAAGCAGAGCUGGGGAACGUGCCCGCAGCCUCCACUGCGUCCUGCACAAGUGCCUCCUCUUUGCCUCUCUUUGACCUGAAACAACCCCCAGCUGCUGCUGCUCCACAGGUGAUUCCUAAAAAUGCACCUCCUGCAAGAGCUAUCGUCCUGCUGCUCUGGGGCUGCCUCAGUGUGUUCAGGAGUGUCAGACAAGUAGGGCUGCCACACCUCAUACUGGAGGUGGGGGGCCUGAUACUGGGGAAGGGUCGGAGGUUGGGGAAGGGUCUGAGGGUGGGGGGAGGGCCUGAUACUGGACUAGGGGCUGAUGCUGGGGGAAUGUCUGAUGCUGGACUAGGGCCUGAUGCUGGACGAGGGCCUGACACUGGGGAAGGGUCUGAUGCUGGGGGAAGGCCUGAUGUUCAACUAGGGUCUGACACUCGGUGAGGGUCUGAUGCUGGGGGAGGGCCUGGUGGUGGACUAGGGUUCGACACUUGGCGAGGGUCUGUUCCUGGGGAAGGGUCUGAUGCUGGGGGAGGGUCUGAUACUGGACUAGAACCUGAUGCUGGGUGGAAGCUCUUGAUGCUGGAGUAGGACCUGAUGUUGGGGGAGUGCCUGAUGCUGUGGAAGGGUCUGAGACUGGAGUAGGGCCUGAUGGUGGACUAGGGCCUGAUACCGGACUAAGGUCUGAUGCUGGGGGAGCGUCUGAUGCUGGACUAGGUUCUGAUGCUGGGGGAGCGUCUGAUGCUGGAGUAGGGCCUGAUGAUGGACGAGGGCCUGACACUGGGGAAGGGUCUGACGCUGGUGGAGGGCCUGAUGCUGGGGGAAGGUCUGAUGCUGGAUUAAGGCCUGAUGCUGGGGGCACAUCUGAUGCUGGACCGGGGCCUGAUGCUGUAGGAGGGCCUGAUGCUGGGGGUAAGGUCUGAUGAUGGUGGACAGCCUGCUCCCAGAUGUGCAUGGAGUUGAGGAUAAAUCUCUAUGAGAAAUCUUUUUUUCAUACUUUCCUGACCACCUUGCUAUGUUCUUUUUAACUUAAAGAUAAUUUUGUGCGAUAUCGGUUGAUUUCUGCCGUACAUCAACAUGAAUUAGCCAUAGGUGUACGUAUGUCCCGUCCCUCUUGAAUCUCCCUCCCACCUCCCCUUGCUACAUUCUUGUUUCUAUGGAUAUAUGAAUAAUAUUCUGUUGACUAAAAUAACAUGAAAAGCUCCCACACACAAGUGUGCACACACACACUCCCUAGUGCAUCAUUCGGGUCCGCGUCAGGGUUGCCCUCGGCACCCCCGCCCUGGGACCGACGGUGAGCCUCGACACCUGCAUUUUAUUCCCACCCUCGGCCUGCUGCCCGCACCUCAACAGCAGAGGGGCCCGCAGAUGCUGAAGUGAUGGAGCCUCUUGUCUCCGGAGCCAAGGGCAUGAAUACACCAUCAGUCGUCCUCUGGGGACACCUGUGCUUCCGCCUUCUGGCCUUUCCAUUGUAUCCGUCCAUUUCUCUUAACAGAAUGUCCGUGUGAUGACAUGGGCUCCCAUUACCAGCUCUGGUCUGUUCUCAGUUUGUUCUCUGAGUACAGCUUACCCUCCGCACACUUCAUUGGCCCUGGGAAAUUUUGCUUCAGUACUUUAUUGAAAGAAAGCAAUAAAAAAAUCCUGUGACAAACAUAGUUCAAAAGUAGCCUGUACAUACUUUGUCACAUAUUCGAGAAGUUCACAAAAGAUUAAUAGGAAAAUAGAACGAUAAUGAAUUGUACAAGUAAAUUAAAGAUGGAACCCACAUGUAAAGAGACAUGCUGUCUCUGUCUACCGAGAUACCAGCUGCAUAAUAAAUACCGCACCAUGACCUGAACGCAUCUCUUGCUGGCUUUUUUAAUGUGCCGCUGAAAGAGUAAAAGUCACAUUUGAUACUUAUACAAUCCAGAACAGCUACGUCAUCACAAUCUAAAAAUGUACACCUAGGUCCAUUCUUUCAACGUGUUUACAAACAGAGGUAAAAAGAUGAUUUACAUAAAAAUAAGGCCUUUGUCAGAGCUGCACUCCACUGUCUGGGAAGUGGCACCUUCACUGUCCAGCUCCAUGGCUCCGCAGCGGGUGCAGGGCAUCGCGAUUGGUCCCCAAAGCAUCUCACCAGAGAGGAGGGAUCCGGGUCCACAGAGACUAGGUUACGGGAGAGAUUUUCAUAGUCGUCUAGUCAUCCUUUCAGCCCAAAUUUCAGUAGAAGCUCACAUUUAACAUUCAGUACUUCUAAAUCACUUCACGCUGCAGACAAAAAGCAUUUCUUCCUAGAAAAAGUACAGUAUAGCCAGUCGUUGAAAUCCAACAACAGUAGGUUGAAAUUAAGUUUGCGUAUUUCAGACUGAUUGUUGGAGAGCUUGAUUACAUUCUGGAAGGAUAAUGCACACCGUGUCAUGAUGAUUUUACAAUUGCAGGAAAACCCCUUCUCUGAUGGUUUAACAUUUAACAAUUAAGAGUAAUUACAAUAAAUGCAUCAUUUACAGAAGCCCUAUAUUUGGUCAUAGGAUUUAUACAGACAAGCACUACAGUACAUUCAUUUGAAAGACUAAAAUCAGGUAUCAGAACAUGAAUUGAUCUGAAAGAAUAUUUAUAGCCUGAAUAUACAAGAAAAAGUAAGUAAUAAUAUAAAUGAAGUCAUAAGUUUACAUAAAUAUAAAUAUAAGAAACUAUUAAAUUCUAAAGUAUUUUCUCUGGUAUUCAUGAAUUUUUCACUAAUUAAAAACCCUGUAAUAAAAUAUCUUCGGUUCCAUGUAACAAGUCUUACAGUAAAGAUUGCAUCGAGUUCAAAAUGUAGUCUUUGUUGUAUUCUGGACGCUAUAAUCAUCUGGAGAAUUAGUGCAGGUAAACUGGAAACAAACAGACGAGUCAGUCCUGGGAUGGCAGCUGGUGCCCGAGCCCCUGCCCCUCCAGACACCCCCCAACCCACUCGGGGCUUCAGCUGCUUUGAGAAUUCAGAGAAAUGUGGAGGACCAAGCAGAUCAAGGAGAGAACUCUGGCUGACUUUAUUCUGACAUAUAGCUAAAAGCUGCUGGUAAAAAAAAACCCUCAAAAGCCCAAUCCAGCUUUCUAGCUGAGACGUGAACAGGACCCAGAGCAGGCAGCCUCCUGCCCUCAGAGCCGCGCGAGCAGGGCUGGGCCCCCGGGCGGGACCCACCAGAG
This is a long non-coding RNA of Capra hircus (goat), 4236 nucleotides long. Lineage: Eukaryota; Metazoa; Chordata; Mammalia; Artiodactyla; Bovidae. The record is from Ensembl.